CCAUAAUUAAGGCGGUUUGCUAUACAUGCAGUCGAACGCGUUGGCCCAAUUGAUUGAUGGUGCUUGCACCUGAUUGAUUUUGGUCGCCAACGAGUGGCGGACGGGUGAGUAACACGUAGGUAACCUGCCCAGAAGCGGGGGACAACAUUUGGAAACAGAUGCUAAUACCGCAUAACAACGUUGUUCGCAUGAACAACGCUUAAAAGAUGGCUUCUCGCUAUCACUUCUGGAUGGACCUGCGGUGCAUUAGCUUGUUGGUGGGGUAACGGCCUACCAAGGCGAUGAUGCAUAGCCGAGUUGAGAGACUGAUCGGCCACAAUGGGACUGAGACACGGCCCAUACUCCUACGGGAGGCAGCAGUAGGGAAUCUUCCACAAUGGGCGCAAGCCUGAUGGAGCAACACCGCGUGAGUGAAGAAGGGUUUCGGCUCGUAAAGCUCUGUUGUUAAAGAAGAACACGUAUGAGAUUAACUGUUCAUACGUUGACGGUAUUUAACCAGAAAGUCACGGCUAACUACGUGCCAGCAGCCGCGGUAAUACGUAGGUGGCAAGCGUUAUCCGGAUUUAUUGGGCGUAAAGAGAGUGCAGGCGGUUUUCUAAGUCUGAUGUGAAAGCCUUCGGCUUAACCGGAGAAGUGCAUCGGAAACUGGAUAACUUGAGUGCAGAAGAGGGUAGUGGAACUCCAUGUGUAGCGGUGGAAUGCGUAGAUAUAUGGAAGAACACCAGUGGCGAAGGCGGCUACCUGGUCUGCAACUGACGCUGAGACUCGAAAGCAUGGGUAGCGAACAGGAUUAGAUACCCUGGUAGUCCAUGCCGUAAACGAUGAGUGCUAGGUGUUGGAGGGUUUCCGCCCUUCAGUGCCGGAGCUAACGCAUUAAGCACUCCGCCUGGGGAGUACGACCGCAAGGUUGAAACUCAAAGGAAUUGACGGGGGCCCGCACAAGCGGUGGAGCAUGUGGGUUUAAUUCGAAGCUACGCGAAGAACCUUACCAGGUCUUGACAUCUUGCGCCAACCCUAGAGAUAGGGCGUUUCCUUCGGGAACCGCAAUGACAGUGU
RNAcentral lists this ribosomal RNA (1056 nucleotides) under Limosilactobacillus fermentum. RNAcentral describes it as "bacterial SSU rRNA". It matches the Rfam family "Bacterial small subunit ribosomal RNA", at positions 24 to 1041 of the family's 1533-position model. Lineage: Bacteria; Bacillati; Bacillota; Bacilli; Lactobacillales; Lactobacillaceae. The record is from RNAcentral.